UAUUGGUUUGAUUCUAACCAACCAAUUUAUUUGCAUUAAUAAGAUACAUGUAAAAUUUUUAUUCCCGAGAGAACACCCGUUUCUUAAAGACAUACCUUUAUUUAUUUAUUAUAAUAUUAAUAAAAUGCUAAUGCCUCGCCUACAGUACUGAAUACUUUACAAUUUAUGAAAAUAAGAUAAGGUUAAAUGGCAUCUUCAUAUCUGGCUAAAUCUGUGCCAGCUGCCGCGGUUACACAGAAAGAUAAUGAAUUACAGUCGGUUAAAUGAGAUUUAUAAUGAUAAUAAUAAUAUUCUAUAAGGUUCAAUUUUAUUAUAAAACUUAAUCUAUAUUAUCUAUAAAUUACACCUCAUGAAAGCUUAAAUCUAAACAAGGAUUUGAUACCCUUCUAUUCUAAGCCAUAAACACAUCCGGGCACUACGAACUCAUGUUUAAAACCCAAAGAUCUUGGCGGUGCUUUAACUACUUAGGGGAACCUGUUUUUCUUUUGAUAAUCCACAUUUUUCUCUAUUAAUAUUUGACUUCAGCAUGUGUACUGCCGUCGACAGUUUACCUUGAAAAAGCUAAGUAAACACCUCAGUUUCUUACUCCUACGUCAGGUCAAAGUGCAGCUAAUAUAUUAAUUAAAAUGGGUUACAACCUUAUUUCAGAUACGAAUUAAUUAUAAAAACUAUUAUGAAGGCGGACUUAAAAGUAAAAUUAUAAAAAUUUAUAAUUUGAAUUUAGAAAUCUAAAGCAUGUACACAUCGCCCGUCACUCUCACCGAAAGGUAAGAUAAGUCGUAACAUAGUAGGUGUAAUGGAAAUUGUACCU
This 811-nucleotide ribosomal RNA is filed under the name Laetmonice producta. RNAcentral's name for it is "12S ribosomal RNA". Lineage: Eukaryota; Metazoa; Annelida; Polychaeta; Phyllodocida; Aphroditidae. The record is from RNAcentral.